This is a long non-coding RNA of Photinus pyralis (common eastern firefly), 572 nucleotides long. RefSeq lists it as uncharacterized. The record is from RefSeq and is a predicted model, not a curated record. The transcript has 3 exons. Lineage: Eukaryota; Metazoa; Arthropoda; Insecta; Coleoptera; Lampyridae.
UGGAGCUACCUCUGACCUGGCCAGCGAUGUACUCGACAAUAUCGAGCAAUUCGUGGUGCAAGCUUUGUACAAGGUUGGGCCAGACAUUACAAUGUCAAAUGCAGCGCGCGUUUCUCUUUUUGGAGCUGUAAAGGUGCUGGAAUUCUUGCCGCCUACCAGUGACGCACUGCGCUUGCAUAUCCUUCGGUGCCACUAUCAGGUUUUUGUGUGGAAAAACUCCCACGUGGCCUUCCCCGAACUACCUGACCCUAAAAAUUGUGGGUGGAAGGUGGAAGGCGGGCGAUAUGUGCCUAUUCUCAUGACUCUGCCAUCUAUCCCAAAGUCAUGCCCGGAGUUUAGUGUUUGUGGCUGCAAAGGACUGUGUAACACAAAGCAGUGUGGGUGUAGGAAGGAGCCCUGGGUCCCUUGCACAAAACUGUGUAAGUGCAGAGCAAAGUGCUUGAAUGGGGCAGGUGACGAUGACGAUGAAUGACGAGUAUUAAUGUCAAUUGAAUUCAGAAAAUAAAAGUCCUUUAACACUUGUUUAAAAUAAUUUUGAGCAUUUAAACAUGCUCUAAAUCCCCUCAGACACA